Oncorhynchus tshawytscha (Chinook salmon) is the source of this 1289-nucleotide long non-coding RNA. The record is from Ensembl. NCBI's taxonomy places the organism in Eukaryota, Metazoa, Chordata, Actinopteri, Salmoniformes, Salmonidae.
UGCCAUGGUGAUAGACAGAAUCUUCCUGUGGGUGUUUGUGACAGUGUGCAUCCUCGGAACCCUCGGCCUCUUCCUGCAGCCUGUCAUUGGCUUCCUGUCAUAACCCAGAACCAAUAAGGGCUCACUGACACCACCGGCUGCCUCCACGUGUCGACCAGUCACCAACCAGUGUUGUCAGUCCAUCGCCACCAAAUGGACUUGUUGGCUUUGUGUUGAAAAUUCUAAAUAAAUAAAUGACACAAUCAUACGGUAUAUAUUGUAGACAGCAAGAACCAAUCAACAGUCACCAAUCGGAGUCGCCGGGUAUGAGUUAGAACCAAGAACCAAUCAGAGUCGCUGGAUGUGAGUCAUAACCAAUUACCAAUCACAUAAAUCAGGUUUCUGUCGUGAACCAAUCUCGGUUAUUGUGCUAUUGUGUCUCAACCAAUCAGAUUGACAUGACACAGUGCAUUCUUGUAAAAAAAACUACAACCAUCCAAUCAGAAAUCCCAUUCUUGCAUGUCAGGCGAUUAAAAUCCAUCCAUGUGAUUUAGAACACGACAAUGACGCUGUUCUUAUCAAUGUUCUAGAAGGUAUAAUUGGCAAGGCCUCUGUAAAUACGUGCCGGAUUAAAUUAGCCUGAACGGUUUCCAUCCAGAAAUAGCAGCUUCCUCUUCUAAACAGAUAUUAAUUAUUCUAAGGGAUUUCUAUCAUCCGAUUCCAUGACUAUUAAUUUGUUUUUUAUUCAUUCUUUUUUAUUAAAUUUCUGGAUUCAACGAUCUCCUGAAAUACAAUACGUAGAUCAUGCAUGAUGGAUUUAGAAUGGCUGCUUCCCAAUUGGCACCCUAUACCUUACAUAGUGCAUUGCUUUUGACAGAGCCCUGUGGGCAGCACUAUGGGCCCUGGUCACAAAUAGUGCACUAUAUAGGGAAUAGGGUGCCAUUUGGGAUGCUGCAAAUGGGUGACCAGGGCCACCGCAUCUAUAUAUAAUUACUAUAAGACAAUUCUAUAAUAAUUAUAAUUAUAUUACUAUACAGUACUGUCAGAUUUUAGGAUAACAGUUUUUUUUGUAUGGUUAUUGUCAUUAAUCCAACGCAUUAAGGCUUUUGGUUGUUUGUUUCAUUAGCAAUGCACACCUCGCACUCAAGUGACUGUCACUUUGGUACGUUUCAUUAGCAAUGCACACCUCGCACUCAAGUGACUGUCACUUUGGUACCGAUGUCUCCUGCUUUCUGUAUAGUAUGGAUGCACUACUUUAUGGAUUUGGAAUAAAUGCAAUAUUUCUCCCAAAAUAUGAAAAGCAUCUCACU